UACAGAGGUCUCAACCGUUGUUCGGAUUCAUUGGGCGUAAAGGGUGCGUAGGCGGUCGCGUAAGUCGGAUGUGAAAUCUCAGGGCUCAACCCUGAAACUGCAUUCGAUACUGCGUGGCUAGGGUACUGGAGAGGAGACUGGAAUUUACGGGUGUAGCAGUGAAAUGCGUAGAUAUCGGUAAGGAAGACCAGUGGCGAAGGCGAGUCUCUGGACAGUUACCGACGCUGAGGCACGAAGGUCAGGGGAGCAAACGGG
Molecule: ribosomal RNA, 255 nt
Filed under: uncultured bacterium
Lineage: Bacteria
Description: partial 16S ribosomal RNA
Rfam family: Bacterial small subunit ribosomal RNA
Source: RNAcentral